CUUUUUUUUUUUUUUUUUUUUUAGAUGGAGUUUCGCUGUUGUUGCCCAGGCUGGAGUGCAAUGGCACGAUCUUGGUUCACUGCAACCUCUGCCUCCUGGGUUCAAGCGAUUCUCCUGCCUCAGACUCCUGAGUAGCUGAGAUUACAGGCGCACACCACCACGCCUAGUUAACGUUUUGUAUUUUUAGUAGAAACAGGGUUUCACCAUGUUAGCCAGACUGGUCUCAAACUCUUGACCUCAGGUGUUCCACCCGCCUCGCCCUCCCAAAGUGCUGGCAUUACAGGCGUGAGCCACCGAGCCCAGCCCGAAAGUGUUCUGUCUCUAGCCACUAGUCACGGGUGGCUUGUUGAACACUUGAAAUAAGGCUAGUGCGACUGCUGAUGUGGCUUCUAAUUUUAGCUAAUAGCCACACAUGGCUCGUGGCCACUGUACUGGAUGGCACAGUGGCCUUGGGUUGUUCUUACCUGAGCAGCAGAAGGCUUUCUGAGGAACUGGAGCUUGGAUUGUGUGAGAUGGUCCGAGAAUUAGAGGGGCCUGUACCACUGCCCCCUUCCCCACAUGCUUAGACUGCGACUCUACUGUACCUAUGCCUUCUCCCGGAGGCGAUGAGCUCACCUUAGUUCUUAGAGCUUCAAUUCUUGAAUGCUGCAAGCCUGCCUGAGGUUGGCUUCCUGUUACCCUGUGGAUAAACUCUAGGCUCCUAAUGCCCUUUUUGAUAGAUCUCACCUCUCUCUUCGUUACUCAUUACUUUCCCCAUCACUCUCUGACUGCCCAUGACAUGGAAAGAUUUGCAAUUUCAAGAACAGGCUGUUCUUACCUCUAGACCUAUGCAAAUCGGACACUCUCCACCUGAAAUGCUCUAUCCCUUUCGUGCACCUGUCUGACUCCUACAUGUCCUCUAGGUCUCAGGUUAUAUCUCAAUUUCUGCACCACCUCCUCUGGGAAAGGUUUCCUUGACCUCUCCUAGGACAGAUGGGUGCCUUUACCUACUAUGUGUACUGAGUGGAUUCCCAUCACAGCACACUUGAUUGAAACUGCUUAUUUACCUACGAGUCCCUCUUCCUGCCCUAGAGCUUCUUAAAGGGUGGUCCCUCUACUGGCAGCACUGGCAUCACCUGGGAACUUGAUGGAAAUGAAGAGUCUUAGACCCCAGCCCAGUCCUCCUGAAUCAGAAGUCCUGAGCAUAGGGACUAGCAAUUUGUCCUCAACAAGCCCACCAGAGGAUUUUUCAUAUGUGCUAAAGUUUGAAAGCCAUUGGGCUGAACUCUUAGCCCCAUGAAGGUAGGAUCCGUGAUUUUUGGUUUGCCACUGUCCCUAGCUUUUAGCACACUGCCUGGCUAGAUACU
This 1346-nucleotide long non-coding RNA is filed under the name Macaca fascicularis (crab-eating macaque). Its description in RNAcentral is "lncRNA (ENSMFAG00000052646.1)". Lineage: Eukaryota; Metazoa; Chordata; Mammalia; Primates; Cercopithecidae. The record is from RNAcentral.